This 492-nucleotide ribosomal RNA is filed under the name uncultured bacterium. RNAcentral describes it as "partial 16S ribosomal RNA". It matches the Rfam family "Bacterial small subunit ribosomal RNA", at positions 29 to 507 of the family's 1533-position model. The record is from RNAcentral.
AGUGAACGCUGGCGGUAGGCCUAACACAUGCAAGUCGAACGGCAGCACAGUAAGAGCUUGCUCUUACGGGUGGCGAGUGGCGGACGGGUGAGGAAUACAUCGGAAUCUACCUUUUCGUGGGGGAUAACGUAGGGAAACUUACGCUAAUACCGCAUACGACCUACGGGUGAAAGCAGGGGAUCUUCGGACCUUGCGCGAUUGAAUGAGCCGAUGUCGGAUUAGCUAGUUGGCGGGGUAAAGGCCCACCAAGGCGACGAUCCGUAGCUGGUCUGAGAGGACGAUCAGCCACACUGGAACUGAGACACGGUCCAGACUCCUACGGGAGGCAGCAGUGGGGAAUAUUGGACAAUGGGCGCAAGCCUGAUCCAGCCAUACCGCGUGGGUGAAGAAGGCCUUCGGGUUGUAAAGCCCUUUUGUUGGGAAAGAAAAGCAGCAGGUUAAUACCCCGCUGUUCUGACGGUACCCAAAGAAUAAGCACCGGCUAACUUCGUG